Molecule: non-coding RNA, 30 nt
Filed under: Rattus norvegicus (Norway rat)
Lineage: Eukaryota; Metazoa; Chordata; Mammalia; Rodentia; Muridae
Source: RNAcentral
UGAACUUGUGACUACUAACUGCAACCAGCA